Molecule: ribosomal RNA, 253 nt
Filed under: uncultured bacterium
Lineage: Bacteria
Description: partial 16S ribosomal RNA
Rfam family: Bacterial small subunit ribosomal RNA
Source: RNAcentral
UACGGAGGGUGCAAGCGUUAUCCGGAUUCACUGGGUUUAAAGGGUGCGUAGGUGGGUUGGUAAGUCAGUGGUGAAAUCUCCAAGCUUAACUUGGAAACUGCCGUUGAUACUAUAAAUCUUGAAUGUUGUGGAGGUGAGCGGAAUAUGUCAUGUAGCGGUGAAAUGCUUAGAUAUGACAUAGAACACCAAUUGCGAAGGCAGCUCACUACACAAAGAUUGACACUGAGGCACGAAAGCGUGGGGAUCAAACAGG